Molecule: ribosomal RNA, 225 nt
Filed under: uncultured bacterium
Lineage: Bacteria
Description: partial 16S ribosomal RNA
Rfam family: Bacterial small subunit ribosomal RNA
Source: RNAcentral
UGAGCAAUCUGCCCUUCACAUCGGAAUAACCAUUGGAAACGAUGGCUAAUACCGAAUAUGACUUCGGAUCGCAUGAUCUGAAGUGGAAAGCUCCGGCGGUGAAGGAUGAGCUCGCGGCCUAUCAGCUUGUUGGUGAGGUAAUAGCUCACCAAGGCGAUGGACGGGUAGCCGGCCUGGAGGGGGUGACCGGCCACACGUGGGACUGAGACACGGCCCAGACCUCCG